This 358-nucleotide transfer-messenger RNA is filed under the name Campylobacter fetus subsp. fetus. It matches the Rfam family "transfer-messenger RNA". From Rfam's summary of the family: Bacterial tmRNA, also known as 10Sa RNA or SsrA, is named for its dual tRNA and mRNA-like properties. The record is from Rfam by way of RNAcentral. RNAcentral also lists the same sequence under 2 other names. Lineage: Bacteria; Pseudomonadati; Campylobacterota; Epsilonproteobacteria; Campylobacterales; Campylobacteraceae.
GGGAGUGACUUGGCUUCGACAGGAGUAGAGUGGUCACGGUGGCAUGCCGCUUUGGAUACAGCGUAAAAAAUCCAAAAUAAAUUUAAACGCAAAUAACGUUAAAUUCGCUCCUGCUUACGCUAAAGUAGCGUAACCGGUUGAGCCUUGCUGCAAACUGAUACUAUUUAGGUUUGCUUGCGAGUAAUUUCAAAUAGUGUAGUUUAGGUGUUUGACGAGCAUUUAAGCCAAAUCUAGUCUUAGUCUAAUUUUUGGUUUUGAAAAGUGAGCCUUUUUAGAUGAAAUUUUCACUUUUGCUAAGCAUGUAGAGGCCUUGGUCUUUUGCUUUUGGACUGCGGUUCGACCCCGCACACUUCCACCA